CUUGGUCCACUUAGAGGAAGUAAAAGUCGUAACAAGGUCUCCGUUGGUGAACCAGCGGAGGGAUCAUUACCGAGUUUACAACUCCCAAACCCAAUGUGAACGUUACCAAACUGUUGCCUCGGCGGGAUCUCUGCCCCGGGUGCGUCGCAGCCCCGGACCAAGGCGCCCGCCGGAGGACCAACCAAAACUCUUAUUGUAUACCCCCUCGCGGGUUUUUUUAUAAUCUGAGCCUUCUCGGCGCCUCUCGUAGGCGUUUCGAAAAUGAAUCAAAACUUUCAACAACGGAUCUCUUGGUUCUGGCAUCGAUGAAGAACGCAGCGAAAUGCGAUAAGUAAUGUGAAUUGCAGAAUUCAGUGAAUCAUCGAAUCUUUGAACGCACAUUGCGCCCGCCAGUAUUCUGGCGGGCAUGCCUGUCCGAGCGUCAUUUCAACCCUCGAACCCCUCCGGGGGGUCGGCGUUGGGGAUCGGCCCUGCCUUGGCGGUGGCCGUCUCCGAAAUACAGUGGCGGUCUCGCCGCAGCCUCUCCUGCGCAGUAGUUUGCACACUCGCAUCGGGAGCGCGGCGCGUCCACAGCCGUUAAACACCCAACUUCUGAAAUGUUGACCUCGGAUCAGGUAGGAAUACCCGCUGAACUUAAGCAUAUCAAUAAGCGGAGGA
RNAcentral lists this ribosomal RNA (657 nucleotides) under Trichoderma harzianum. RNAcentral describes it as "eukaryotic LSU rRNA". The stretch from base 271 to 424 matches the Rfam family "5.8S ribosomal RNA". The record is from RNAcentral. Lineage: Eukaryota; Fungi; Ascomycota; Sordariomycetes; Hypocreales; Hypocreaceae.